RNAcentral lists this ribosomal RNA (497 nucleotides) under uncultured bacterium. RNAcentral's name for it is "partial 16S ribosomal RNA". It matches the Rfam family "Bacterial small subunit ribosomal RNA", at positions 28 to 507 of the family's 1533-position model. The record is from RNAcentral.
GACGAACGCUGGCGGCGUGCCUAAUACAUGCAAGUAGAACGCUGAAGAGAGGAGCUUACUCUUCUUGGAUGAGUUGCGAACGGGUGAGUAACGCGUAGGUAACCUGCCUUGUAGCGGGGGAUAACUAUUGGAAACGAUAGCUAAUACCGCAUAACAAUGGAUGACACAUGUCAUUUAUUUGAAAGGGGCAAUUGCUCCACUACAAGAUGGACCUGCGUUGUAUUAGCUAGUAGGUGAGGUAAUGGCUCACCUAGGCGACGAUACAUAGCCGACCAGAGAGGGUGAUCGGCCGCACUGGGACUGAGACACGGCCCAGACUCCUACGGGAGGCAGCAGUAGGGAAUCUUCGGCAAUGGGGGCAACCCUGACCGAGCAACGCCGCGUGAGUGAAGAAGGUUUUCGGAUCGUAAAGCUCUGUUGUAAGUCAAGAACGGGUGUGAGAGUGGAAAGUUCACACUGUGACGGUAGCUUACCAGAAAGGGACGGCUAACUACGUG